UUUUAAUUUAAUUUAUAAUUUAAAAUUUUAAAUUAAAUUUGAUUGGGGCGAUGGAAAAAGAAUGAGUAUCUUUUUUAGUUUUAAAAAUUGGUUCCGUUUUUAACGAUUAAAUGAGAAAAAUACUCUAGGGAUAACAGCGUAAUAAUUUUGGAUAGCUCUUAUAGAUAAAAUAGUUUGCGACCUCGAUGUUGGAUUAGGAUUCUUUCUUGGCGAAGAAGUUAAGAAAAAGAAGUUUGUUCAACUUUUAAAUUCCUACAUGAUCUGAGUUCAGACCGG
RNAcentral lists this ribosomal RNA (276 nucleotides) under Ixodes persulcatus (taiga tick). Its description in RNAcentral is "partial 16S ribosomal RNA". The stretch from base 130 to 276 matches the Rfam family "Bacterial large subunit ribosomal RNA", at positions 2473 to 2619 of the family's 2925-position model. The record is from RNAcentral. Lineage: Eukaryota; Metazoa; Arthropoda; Arachnida; Ixodida; Ixodidae.